CUACGGGCCGCUGCAGUGGGGAAUAUUGCACAAUGGGCGCAAGCCUGAUGCAGCCAUGCCGCGUGUAUGAAGAAGGCCUUCGGGUUGUAAAGUACUUUCAGCGGGGAGGAAGGGAGUAAAGUUAAUACCUUUGCUCAUUGACGUUACCCGCAGAAGAAGCACCGGCUAACUCCGUGCCAGCAGCCGCGGUAAUACGGAGGGUGCAAGCGUUAAUCGGAAUUACUGGGCGUAAAGCGCACGCAGGCGGUUUGUUAAGUCAGAUGUGAAAUCCCCGGGCUCAACCUGGGAACUGCAUCUGUAGUGGAUAGCUUAAGUCUCGGAGAGGGGGGUAUCAUGCGAGGUGUCGAGGUGGAAGGCGUGGCGAUCUGGAGGACUGCCGGUGGCGAAGGGGGCCACCUUGACGAAGAAUGACGCUCAGGUGCGAAUGCGUUGGGAGCAAACAGGAUUAGCUACCCCAGUAGUC
This 463-nucleotide ribosomal RNA is filed under the name uncultured bacterium. RNAcentral's name for it is "partial 16S ribosomal RNA". It matches the Rfam family "Bacterial small subunit ribosomal RNA", at positions 339 to 795 of the family's 1533-position model. The record is from RNAcentral.